UACAGAGGUCCCAAGCGUUGUUCGGAUUCACUGGGCGUAAAGGGUGCGCAGGUGGUCGGGUAAGUCUGGUGUGAAAUCCCGCAGCUCAACUGCGGAAUGGCAUUGGAUACUAUUUGGCUAGAGGGUUGGAGGGGGGACUGGAAUUCUCGGUGUAGCAGUGAAAUGCGUAGAUAUCGAGAGGAACACCAGUGGCGAAGGCGAGUCCCUGGACAACUCCUGACGCUGAGGCACGAAAGCUAGGGGAGCAAACAGG
Molecule: ribosomal RNA, 253 nt
Filed under: uncultured bacterium
Lineage: Bacteria
Description: partial 16S ribosomal RNA
Rfam family: Bacterial small subunit ribosomal RNA
Source: RNAcentral